GCUCGCAGAGUUUUGCAUUUUUAUUUAUUUUACACAUUUGAUCGUAGCCGAAAGACUGAAGUAGAUGUUAAGAUUUACAGUUUAGCCUGGUCAUCUGCUUCCGAUUCUCCUCCUUGUGGAGGCGUCUCCCCCCGGGAGAUCCCGGACAAAUGCAACGCUGGACUCUGCAGCCCUUCCUUUCCUUUCCGACACCAUUGCCCAGCCUGAGUAUUUGCACUUUUUCCCUGUAGUUUACCAAAGGUCUGGGUGCAGAGAGGGAACCGGCCCACCGUCCCGAAACAGAUGAAUAAAUAACUCUGGCAGCGCGCCUCAUAUGCUAGAGCUUGUGCAAGCAAGUGGAUCAGAAAUAGCUCAGGGUAGAAGAUUUCCAGCGGCGCCUUAGGAAGAAUGAGGCACAAGCCAAUUUUGUAGCCUGAAACGGACUUUCCCCGGCUGGAGAAAGCUCCGAAAAGUAAAAAGAUGCUGAUCAGAAGAAUCAGCUGUGAUUCACUGGAGUCAAGUCUCCUGGGAAGUGUUUCCUCAGAAGCUGUGCUCCAGAGAUGGCCAAGGUUGAACCUCAUGCCGGCAGCUGAACUUGGUUGUGUAAGAGUGACCCAGCUGAUAACUGCUUUAAAGGUAUAAAGGGAUCAUGGACAGCAGCUGAGGCUUGGCCCUGUGUGGCAGGCCUGGAGUCCCUGAAAAGAGCCCAGGAGAGGUGAGAGGUGAAAGUGCAGCCGGGCUGCUGUAGAAGAGCCCAGCGGUUUGGAGAUGCCACUACCAGAGGACAACCACCCAGAACAGCAGCAGGUGUGGAGUGGAGCCAGCCUGAGCCUAGAAGACAAGCUCUGUGUGCUACAGAGGACAGAGCCAGAGAAGAGACCAGGCCCUUUGGAGGAGCGCAGAUCAGGAGAGACUCCCAGACACUGGAGGCCGAGUCAUUUACUGUUGGAACUUGGCUUUGCUUUGUUCUGACUGCGACUGUGGGCUGGUUCUUCUCUCUUGAGCUCUCCAAAAGGAAGCUGCAGCAGGAUUGACUUGAACUUGAGGCUAACCCAGGCUACAGUGUGUGGCUCUGUAUUAAAGACCAAAACAAGACAGACCAGCUGUAAUACCACAAACCCGUGGUCAUCCUAGCUACACUUGGAAUUAAAGGCAGCCAGCCUGUGCUACACAUGGAGGUAAAAAAGGCCAGCCUGUGCUACAUGAAACCCUGUCACAUGAGUGAGAAGAUUC
This is a long non-coding RNA of Mus pahari (shrew mouse), 1212 nucleotides long. RefSeq lists it as uncharacterized. NCBI's taxonomy places the organism in Eukaryota, Metazoa, Chordata, Mammalia, Rodentia, Muridae. The transcript has 3 exons. The record is from RefSeq and is a predicted model, not a curated record.